GACGAACGCUGGCGGCGUGCUUAACGCAUGCAAGUCGAACGGAAAGGCCCUGCUUUUGUGGGGUGCUCGAGUGGCGAACGGGUGAGUAACACGUGAGUAACCUGCCCUUGACUUUGGGAUAACUUCAGGAAACUGGGGCUAAUACCGGAUAGGAGCUCCUGCUGCAUGGUGGGGGUUGGAAAGUUUCGGCGGUUGGGGCUGGACUCGCGGCUUAUCAGCUUGUUGGUGGGGUAGUGGCUUACCAAGGCUUUGACGGGUAGCCGGCCUGAGAGGGUGACCGGCCACAUUGGGACUGAGAUACGGCCCAGACUCCUACGGGAGGCAGCAGUGGGGAAUAUUGCACAAUGGGCGGAAGCCUGAGGCAGCAACGCCGCGUGCGGGAUGACGGCCUUCGGGUUGUAAACCGCUUUCGCCUGUGACGAAGCGUGAGUGACGGUAAUGGGUAAAGAAGCACCGGCUAACUACGUG
RNAcentral lists this ribosomal RNA (468 nucleotides) under uncultured bacterium. RNAcentral's name for it is "partial 16S ribosomal RNA". It matches the Rfam family "Bacterial small subunit ribosomal RNA", at positions 28 to 507 of the family's 1533-position model. The record is from RNAcentral.